Cajanus cajan (pigeon pea) is the source of this 544-nucleotide non-coding RNA. The record is from RefSeq and is a predicted model, not a curated record. NCBI's taxonomy places the organism in Eukaryota, Viridiplantae, Streptophyta, Magnoliopsida, Fabales, Fabaceae.
AUUAUACCAGUGAUACCUUGUCACAACCAAAAUAAAACACCAUAGAAUGCAUAUGGAAUGUAAUGCCUUCAAUUCAUUUUUUGAGGAACCUAAUUGUUUAUCUGUUUAUAUGAACUUUGCUAAUUCCUUGAUUGUGAACAGGUAUUGCCAGAGGAUGCGGUUGGCAGAAACUUGGUGCAAUUGUCAAUCUAGGAUCUUUUUAUUUUAUAGGCGUUCCUUUUUCUGUUGUGACAGGUUUUGUCCUCCACAUGAAAGGACGGGGGCUAUUUUUAGGGAUAGUACUGGCAAUUAUCAUUCAAAUGUUGUGUUUUCUUGUGAUCACCCUACGUGCCAAUUGGGAGGAAGAAGCAAAUAAGGCAACAAAAAGGGUAGGAGGCAGUGGAGUCCAACUUCAAGAACUUUCGGUUGACCAAAAUGUUAAUUCUGCUCGAUAGAUAGUUGAAGAACCAUUUCUAGAUUUGUGUAGAACUAGAGUGACUUACCUUGAAAUAAAUGCAUACCAAUGUACUUAUAGCACAUCCAUGAGUAAUUAUUCCUUAGCGUA